This 1840-nucleotide long non-coding RNA is filed under the name Bemisia tabaci. RNAcentral's name for it is "lncRNA ENSSWEETPG001195". Lineage: Eukaryota; Metazoa; Arthropoda; Insecta; Hemiptera; Aleyrodidae. The record is from RNAcentral.
CCUUGUCUUUCUACGUGUAUUUGCAGAAGGCUAGUUCCUCGUACAAGUAGAUGCAGACUAAGUCCAAUUCUUCUCUUUUUCUUUUUACAGAAGACAAUAUACAGCAGCUUCAUGACAUCCAUGAAAGUAUUCAACGUAUGCGUGAUGUUAGCGCUCUCAUGCUCAACCAACAGCAGCAAAAUUCCAGAUUAUUUGCAUCUUGUCCAUCACUUAACGACGGGCAAGAUUCCUCUGAUCCUGAUCUCCUAUCUAGGCUUCAGUCUCCUCCAAAUCAACCGUCACAACCAAAGCUUUCUCUCAAUGCCCCAGCCUACUCAGACUCACUACGGCAAAAAAGAGGUUCAGGGGAUUGGUUAAUGUGUGAAGUUCAACGGAGAAGUAGCUGGGCUGCCUUAGACGACCUUACAAAUUGUGAUAAGGGCAGGAAAGUAGAUAAACAUAGAAGUGUAAGUUCUAGUAGUUUAGAGUCAGAAUUGGACGACCCCAUAAUGGAUAGCACUGCAAAUUUACUGAGUACAGAUAGUGCCUCGCCAGUAAAAAUAAUUCAAAGGCGAAAAUCCAGCACUGGAGCCUCUGUUAAUGUCAGGCGCUCAGUUUGUCCAGGAGGCACCUCUUCAACCCAUUCCCUAAAUGAAGCAGACCUACAGAGUGAUUUCAACAAAAUAAUUGCCAAGCACAGAGCUGAAUCUAGGUUGCAAGCAAGGCUUCCUUUGCAGAAAUCAGUAUCCACCCCUUCAAUUUUAGCAGUUCGUGACAUAGCUCAAAUCCGGAAUGAAGUCGGAACCAACAAUGCCAACAUCAACAAUUUAACCAUUGGAGUUCCAACUGAGAGUGAAACGGAGGAAGAAAUGUUAGCAGCACUGAUUGAUCCAAGCAAGCAUCGCACCUCCUUCCAGCUUUUAUUUGCCGACACCGCUUAUGAUGAACAUUCAGAAAAACGUAGGAAAAGAGGAAGCUUGUUCUUCAGGAAGAAAAAGGACAAAUUAAAAAAAUCACCUCAUCAGUGGGUUUCAGUCUGUUAUGGUAGUUCAAAUCACAUUCAAAACUGUGACUGGUGUUCAAAACCUAUCACGAACAAAUCAGCUAUUUUUUGCGAAAAUUGUUUGGUUACUGUUCAUCAAAGUUCCUGCAAAGACCAUAUUGUAGAUUGCAAUAAACAGAAAUUAUCUAAGAGCAUAUCAAAGCCAUCAGCAGUCAGUUUAUCUUCAUUUAGUAAAAGCUCAGGGAAGACAAGAAGUGGAAGUCCAUCGCAUGGACAAUCAAGUUCACCUAGCAGUCAAAUUAUAGGUGACGAUAAAGAGUUUUUCUUUGGUCAUCAUCAGCUUGAUGGAUCCAGGUAAAGACAAAUUUCUACAGUAUUUCAAAUUUAAGUGCCUGACUCUUUGCAAAUUCACGAUGUUAUCAUAGUUAUGGGUUCUAUCUUUCUCACGUUAAUAGACCUGUUGAAAGCUCAUAUCAAUUAUUUUAUUCUAUAGUCAACUGCUGUUUAAUUAAACAACUCAAAAUAUUUAAGAUCUCAUCUAUGAGAGUUGUUCUGUGAGUUUGGAAGCAGACCUCAGACAAAGUAUUAAGAUGAGAGCCAAUACUCUGUGAUAAUACAUAGUUUAUAAAAUUGCUCCUAUUGGGUUAUAAUAAAUGCCCUAUGUGAGUAAAACAUUUAUAAAUUAUUUAUUAUCACAGCGUAUUGGCUCUCAUCCUAAUAUUUUCAAUAUAUAAUGCUGUUCAGCCCAACAUGUUUCAAUAUCAGACAAAGUGACUACAUAUUGCAUUUCUUGUGAAAUUCAAUAUUUUCUUGUAAAAUUCGUUCAGGUCAGAUUAUUUGAUGAAUUCACAAAUUCCU